RNAcentral lists this ribosomal RNA (459 nucleotides) under uncultured bacterium. Its description in RNAcentral is "partial 16S ribosomal RNA". It matches the Rfam family "Bacterial small subunit ribosomal RNA", at positions 338 to 795 of the family's 1533-position model. The record is from RNAcentral.
CCUACGAGUGGCAGCAGUGAGGAAUAUUGGUCAAUGGGCGGAAGCCUGAACCAGCCAAGUAGCGUGCGGGAUGAAGGCCCUACGGGUCGUAAACCGCUUUUGCACGGGGAUAACACCCUCCACUUGUGGAGGUCUGCCGGUACCGUGCGAAUAAGGGCCGGCUAAUUACGUGACAGCCGCAGCGGUAAUACGGCAGGCACGAGCGUUCUCCGGAUUCAUUGGCCUUAAAGGGAGCGUAGACGGGCGUGCAAGUCAGCUGUAAAAUCGCGGGGCUAAACCGCGCCCCGAAGUUGAAACUGGACGCCUUGAGUUCACAACAAGCAGGCGGAAUUCGUGGUGUAGCGGUGAAAUGCAUAGAUAUCACGAGGAACCCCGAUUGCGAAGGCAGCCUGCCGGGGUGCGACUGACGCUGAGGCUCGAAGGUGCGGGUAUCAAACAGGAUUAGAUACCCUGGUAGUC